Molecule: ribosomal RNA, 428 nt
Filed under: Ommatoiulus sp. GP-2011
Lineage: Eukaryota; Metazoa; Arthropoda; Diplopoda; Julida; Julidae
Description: partial 16S ribosomal RNA
Source: RNAcentral
AUGGUUUCUUGUUUUAAUUAAGAAAUUUAACCUGCUCACUGAAAUUAUUAAAGAGCUGCAGUAUUUUGACUGUACAAAGGUAGCACAAUCAUUAGUCUUUUAAUUGGGGACUGGUAUGAAAGGUUGGACAAGGAGUUAUUAUUUAAGUUUAUAGCUUGAAUUUUUCUUUUGUGUUAAAAGACAUAAUUAUAAAUAAGGGACAAGAAGACCCUUUAAGCUUUAUUUGUAUUUGAUUUUAUUGUUUAUGUUAAUAAAACAAAAUUUUGGAGCCAUUUUUAUCUGGGGCGGAGGGUGUAAUAUAUCUACAUUUUUUAUAAAUUGUACAAAAAGAUCUUAUUUGAUCCUAAAUAAAGGAAUGAAGAAAAAAGUUACUGAAGGGAUAACAGCGUAAUGUUUUUGAGAGUUCUGAUUGAAUAUGAUGUUUGCGA